Molecule: ribosomal RNA, 467 nt
Filed under: uncultured bacterium
Lineage: Bacteria
Description: bacterial SSU rRNA
Rfam family: Bacterial small subunit ribosomal RNA
Source: RNAcentral
AACGAACGCUGGCGGCAGGCUUAACACAUGCAAGUCGAGCGACGCCUUCGGGCUGAGCGGCGGACGGGUGAGUAACGCGUGGGAACGUGCCCUUCUCUCCGGAAUAGCCCUGGGAAACUGGGAGUAAUGCCGGAUACGGCCCCCUUUCGUGGAGAUUGGGGGCGAAAGAUUUAUCGGGGAAGGAUCGGCCCGCGUCGGAUUAGGUAGUUGGUGGGGUAACGGCCUACCAAGCCGACGAUCCGUAGCUGGUUUGAGAGGAUGAUCAGCCACACUGGGACUGAGACACGGCCCAGACUCCUACGGGAGGCAGCAGUGGGGAAUCUUGGACAAUGGGGGCAACCCUGAUCCAGCCAUGCCGCGUGAGCGAUGAAGGCCUUAGGGUUGUAAAGCUCUUUCAGCGGGGAAGAUAAUGACGGUACCCGCAGAAGAAGCCCCGGCUAACUCCGUGCCAGCAGCCGCGGUAAUAC